This 309-nucleotide long non-coding RNA is filed under the name Vigna radiata. RNAcentral describes it as "long non-coding RNA (VRAD_LNC013275)". Lineage: Eukaryota; Viridiplantae; Streptophyta; Magnoliopsida; Fabales; Fabaceae. The record is from RNAcentral.
AAAAAAAAAAAANAGAAAAAAAAAAAAAAAAAAAAAAAAAAAAAAAAAAAAAAAAAAAAAAAAAAAAGAAAAAAAAAAAAAAUAAGAAAAAAAGUGAAAAAAAAAGAAAGAAAAGAAAAGGAAAACGAAAAAAAAAGAAGAAGAAAAAACGUGAAAGAAAAACAUCCCCAAUCUGUCACCGAGGACUCACCACUACCUCCUCUGUCAGCGAGACACACAACCCUUUUCUCUCCACCCCUCUGCUAUGCCUAAGCCAGAGCGACCCCAACAAACAUCCCCAAUCCUACACCUCAUCAUGCAUCACAUACA